Molecule: ribosomal RNA, 189 nt
Filed under: uncultured bacterium
Lineage: Bacteria
Description: partial 16S ribosomal RNA
Rfam family: Bacterial small subunit ribosomal RNA
Source: RNAcentral
UCGACUACAUGAAGCUGGAAUCGCUAGUAAUCGCGGAUCAGAAUGCCGCGGUGAAUACGUUCCCGGGUCUUGUACACACCGCCCGUCACACCAUGGGAGUCGGAAAUGCCCGAAGUCUGUGACCGAACCGAAAGGAAGGAGCAGCCGAAGGCAGGUCGGAUGACUGGGGUGAAGUCGUAACAAGGUAAC